UGCUUCUGUUAGAGCUCUUAGUGCAACAUCUUCACCAGACUUUUCACCAGCAUCUAGUUUUGAAGUUUCUGAAGUAGGCUUCCCCUCAUUAGUAUCUGGUUUUGAAACUUGAUCAGCUUGCUUCGCUACAACAGUAUCUCGUUUUGAAACUUGAUCAGCUUGCUUCCCUUCAACAGUAUCUGGUUUUGAAAUUCGAUCAGCUUUCUUUCCUUCGCUGUCAUUCUCAAAAAUAUCAUUCUUUUCUUCGGUAUCUUCUGGGUUUGAACUCUCCAUUGGAGACGUUCGACUCUGGUCCUCCUUGGAAUCUAUUUUAACAUC
RNAcentral lists this long non-coding RNA (318 nucleotides) under Linum usitatissimum (flax). Its description in RNAcentral is "long non-coding RNA (LUSI_LNC001035)". The record is from RNAcentral. Lineage: Eukaryota; Viridiplantae; Streptophyta; Magnoliopsida; Malpighiales; Linaceae.